UGGAAGUAAAAGUCGUAACAAGGUCUCCGUUGGUGAACCAGCGGAGGGAUCAUUAUAGAGUUAUCAAAAAACUCCCAAACCCAUGUGAACAUACCCUUCGUUGCCUCGGCGGGCGCCGUCCUACCACCACCGGUGGAGGGGCGAAACCCCGCCGGCGGCCCCCGAAACUCUGUUUUUCUAUAGCAUUGGACCUCUGAAGCAAAGAUAACUAAAUCAGUUAAAACUUUCAACAACGGAUCUCUUGGUUCUGGCAUCGAUGAAGAACGCAGCGAAAUGCGAUAAGUAAUGUGAAUUGCAGAAUUCAGUGAAUCAUCGAAUCUUUGAACGCACAUUGCGCCCACCAGUAUUCUGGUGGGCAUGCCUGUUCGAGCGUCAUUUCAACCCUUAAGCCCCAGCUGCUUAGCGUUGGGAGCCUACCGGAGACCUCCUCCCGUAGCUCCCCAAAGUCAGUGGCGGAGCCGGUUUAACACUCCAGACGUAGUAGCUCAUACCACAUCGCCUGUAGCCUAAACCCGGCCCCCUGCCGUAAAACACAACGAAUAUUGUAUAGGUUGACCUCGGAUCAGGUAGGAAUACCCGCUGAACUUAAGCAUAUCAAUAAGCGGAGGA
RNAcentral lists this unclassified non-coding RNA (609 nucleotides) under Xylariaceae sp. RNAcentral's name for it is "partial contains 18S rRNA, ITS1, 5.8S rRNA, ITS2, and 28S rRNA". The stretch from base 222 to 375 matches the Rfam family "5.8S ribosomal RNA". The record is from RNAcentral. Lineage: Eukaryota; Fungi; Ascomycota; Sordariomycetes; Xylariales; Xylariaceae.